GCCGGGCGUGGUGGCGAAUACCUGUAAUCCCAGCUACUUGGGAGGCUGAGGCAGGAGAAUUGCUUGAACCCAGGAGGCGGAGGCUGCAGUGAGCCAAGAUCAUGCCAUUGCACUCUAGCCUGGGCAACAGAGCAAGACUCUGUCUCAA
This is an unclassified non-coding RNA of Macaca fascicularis (crab-eating macaque), 148 nucleotides long. It matches the Rfam family "Metazoan signal recognition particle RNA". From Rfam's summary of the family: The signal recognition particle (SRP) is a universally conserved ribonucleoprotein. It is involved in the co-translational targeting of proteins to membranes. The eukaryotic SRP consists of a 300-nucleotide 7S RNA and six proteins: SRPs 72, 68, 54, 19, 14, and 9. The record is from Ensembl. Lineage: Eukaryota; Metazoa; Chordata; Mammalia; Primates; Cercopithecidae.